Molecule: ribosomal RNA, 515 nt
Filed under: uncultured bacterium
Lineage: Bacteria
Description: partial 16S ribosomal RNA
Rfam family: Bacterial small subunit ribosomal RNA
Source: RNAcentral
GACGAACGCUGGCGGCGUGCCUAAUACAUGCAAGUCGAACGCUUCCUACCGGUGCUUGCACCGGGACAGAAGAGUGGCGGACGGGUGAGUAACACGUGGGUAACCUACCUACAAGCGGGGGAUAACAUUCGGACACGGAUGCUCAUACCGCAUAGAUCUUUUUGUCUCCUGUCAGAAAGAAGAAAGACGGUUUCUGCUGUCACUUGUAGAUGGACCCGGGGCGAAUUAGUUAGUUGGUGAGGUAAUGGUUAACCAAGACGAUGAGGCGUAGCCGACCUGAGAGGGUGAGCGGCCACACGGGGACUGAUACACCGCCCAGACUCCUACGGGAGGCAGCAGGAGGGAAUCUUCCGCAAGGGACGAAAGUCUGACGGAGAAACGCCGCGUGAGUGAAGAAGGUUUUCGGAUCGUAAAACUCUGUUGUUAGAGAAGAACAAGGAUGAGAGUAACUGCUCGUCCCUUGACGGUAUCUAACCAGAAAGCCAUGGCUAACUACGUGCCAUCAGCCGCGGUAA